UUUUAUUUAUUUUAUUUAUUUAUUAAUAAUUUAUAUUAUUUAAUAUAGAAAAUUAUAAUUUAUUAAUUUAAUAUUUAAUUAAUUUAAAAUAAUAUUUAAUUUAUUUUAUCUUUUGUAUCAGAUUUAAUUAAAAUUAUUUAUUUAAUUAAUUUUUUAAAAUAAUUAUCAAUUAAUUUAAUUUUUAUUUAUUAUUAUAUUAAUAUUAAAUAAUUUAAAUUUUUUUUAAUAUAAAAUUUAAUUUAUAUUUAAUUAAUAAAAAAAAAAUUAUUUAAAUUAUUUUUAAUAAUUAAUUAUUAUUAUUUAUUUAAUUAUUAUUAAUAAAAGUUAAGUUUUAUUAAAAUUUAUAAUUUUAUUAUUAAAUUAAAUAAAAAAUAUAUUUUUAAUUUAAAAAUUUAAUUUUUUAAUAAUUUAUUUUAUUUUGAUUUAUUAAUUUAAUAAUAAAAUUUAUUUUUAAAAUAAAUAUUUAUUUAUAAUUAAAAAUUAUUUAAAUUUAUUAAUAAUGAUUAAAUUAAUAUAAUUAUUAAAUUUAUUAAUAAUAAUUUAACAAAUAUUAAUUUUAUAAAUGUUUAAUAAAAACAUUUUUUAAAAAUUUUAAUUUUAAAUAAUUUCUGCUCAAUGAAUUUUAUUUUAAAUAGCUGCAAUAUUUUAAUUGUACAAAGGUAGCAUAAUAAUUAGUUUUUUAAUUGAAAACUUGAAUGAAUGAAUUUUUAUAUAAUUAUUAUUUAUUUUAAAAAAUUAAAAUUUUAUAUUUAAAUAAAAAAGUUUAAUUUUAUUUAAAAGACAAAAAGACCCUAUAAAAUUUUAUAAAUUUUAUUAUUAUUUAAAGUUUAUUUUAUUGGGGUAAUAUUUAAUUUUUUUUUAAUUAUUAUAAAUUAUUAUUAUAAAUUUAAAUUUUAAUGAAUAAAUUUUUAUUUUUUUAUAAAUAUUAUUUAUUUAAAAUAAAUUAUUUUAGGGAUAACAGGAUAAUAUUUAUUAAUAGUACAAAUUAAAAUAAUUGAUUAUUACCUCGAUGUUGAAUUAAAAUAUAAUUAAUUGAAGAAAAUUUAAAUUUUUAAGUCUGUUCGACUUUAUUUUUUUACAUGAUUUGAGUUUAAAUCGAUGAAAAUUAGAUUGGAUUUUAUCUUUAAAUAAAUUAAAUUUUUUAGUACGAAAGGAUUUUAAAUUUAAAUUUUAUUUU
This 1177-nucleotide ribosomal RNA is filed under the name Matsucoccus matsumurae. RNAcentral describes it as "16S ribosomal RNA". Lineage: Eukaryota; Metazoa; Arthropoda; Insecta; Hemiptera; Margarodidae. The record is from RNAcentral.